GCUCGGUUAGCUCAGUUGGUUAGAGCGUCGUACUAAUAUCUUCGGUCCGCUUCGAUCGGAAAUAUUAAGUAAAUGCGAAGGUCAUGAGUUCAACCCUCAUACUGAGCA
Molecule: transfer RNA, 108 nt
Filed under: Daldinia bambusicola
Lineage: Eukaryota; Fungi; Ascomycota; Sordariomycetes; Xylariales; Hypoxylaceae
Description: tRNA-Ile
Rfam family: tRNA
About the family: Transfer RNA (tRNA) molecules are approximately 80 nucleotides in length. Their secondary structure includes four short double-helical elements and three loops (D, anti-codon, and T loops).
Source: RNAcentral